Ipomoea nil (Japanese morning glory) is the source of this 118-nucleotide long non-coding RNA. RefSeq lists it as uncharacterized. Lineage: Eukaryota; Viridiplantae; Streptophyta; Magnoliopsida; Solanales; Convolvulaceae. The record is from RefSeq and is a predicted model, not a curated record. The transcript is spliced from 3 exons.
GAUUGCUAAGUUAAAAUUUCACAAAACACAUUUCAAAUUUACAAGCUAUAUUUAACAUUCAUGAAGAAAUUGAAAGGAAGCACAACAAUAGGAGGCAAGAGGAAGGCAACAUUAUCUA